AGAGAGUAUUAUAUUGUUAGAUCGAGCUUUUGGGCAACAAUAACAUUCAGUAAAUUAGAUUAUGAUUUUGAAUAUAGGUAUGAAUAUUCUGUUUGAUCGAUCUUUUGGGCUAACAAUAUUAAAAUUCAAUAAGUUAGUUCUGAUUUUGAGGCCUCUAGCAUAUCUAUUACGUACAUAAUAAGUAGGAGUAUUCUAUUAGAUCGAUCUUUCGGGUAGCAAUAUAAUAAUGUUCAAUAAGUUAGAUUCUGAUUUUGAGGCGUCUGGCAUGUCAAUCAUGCACAUUAAGUAGGAGUAUUCUGUCAGAUUGAUCUUGAUCAACAACUACAGUAUUCAGUAGUAAAUUAGAUUCUAAUUUUGAGACCUCUGACUAGGGAUGCAAACGGGACGGAUCUGGGGUGCGGGAGCCCCGCCCCGCCUCCUACCCCGACUAGCGAAAUCCCGCCCGCCUCCCGCCCCGAAUCCGUGACGGGUUAAAAUAUAUAUCCCAUAAUCCGUCCCGUCUUGUAACCCGUCUCCCGCCGGCGCCUCGAAUCCGCCCCGCCAACUAAUAUUGUUUAUUAAAUUAUAAUAUUAUUAAUAUUUUGUAAAAUAUAAAAUAAUAAUUUUUAAUAAUAUUAUAUAUAUAAUUUAACAAUAUCAAUUAUAAAAAUAAAAAAUAUCAAUCACAAUUCAAAACAAAAUUUAAAAAUUUCAAAUAUAUUAGAAA
RNAcentral lists this long non-coding RNA (706 nucleotides) under Ananas comosus (pineapple). Its description in RNAcentral is "long non-coding RNA (ACOM_LNC031195)". Lineage: Eukaryota; Viridiplantae; Streptophyta; Magnoliopsida; Poales; Bromeliaceae. The record is from RNAcentral.